AAAAAGAAGGAUUGUAUAUAAGACGUAUGUCCCUCUAAUCCCCUCAAUGAUUGCCCUUUACCUUUGGAAAGCUUCCCACUGACCAAGUAACGUUUUCAUUGUCACAUCCCCAAGUUGAUUCUUACCAAAGGACAGGAAAAAGGCGGUAUAUUCUGUUUUGUACAAAACCGGUAGGCCAUUCAUAUCGUUGCACCCUCUCGAAGGUUGCAGGAACGUUAGAUUGCGUGUAACCCAGCCUAUAGGAAGUCGACUAUGAGAAGGGAUAUCGCGCAAGCGUAUUUCUCUUAUCCAUCCCCUUGAACGAAGAGAAAGAGGGUGGGAAGCCAAAGCUUAACCCUCAGUGAGAACUUAAACGCGAGAUCGCGCGGACGGUAAAGUCCAAUCCCGUGAUAAAAGAUACCAUGGGAAAACACGGAUAAAAACAUAAUAUAUAAACAUAUAGUAAUAUAAUAUAUAUUUUUCUAUGUUCUAACGAUAAAUAUUAUUUAAUGGUUUUAAUAUAAUUUAAACGUAAUCGUUAAAUUAAUAAUAGAUUGAAAGGUUCGAUGGUGACAAUAUCUUUCAUCGUUAUUCGUGAUCAUUCUACUACUUCUUCUGCUACUUCUACACCUUCUUCUUCUUCUUCUUUGCGAGAAUAACGAAGAACAGAAUCCGAUUGUUACAGACAAAAAAAAAUCUAUCUUUUUUAUACCAACGAAUAGGUAAGGUCCGAAGAGAAUCCGACAUUACCGAUGGGUAGAACACAUAUGUCAAAAACGCUGAACGCUUAUAGAAUCAAAAAAAUAGAAACUAUUGGCAGGAUGACGGCCAUGACGCAGGAAGAAAUAAUAGCUGGGGCACGUACAGUGGCCCAGGGAUUGGAGGCUCUCCGUGUAGAACACAGUGGUCUAUUACAGGGAUUACAAUCGCAGGAUGCACCAGCUGCACGAGAUAAAGCCAAUCUGUUAUCGAAGAACAUCGAAAUGAUAGAAUUGGGUUUAGGAGAAGCUCAAGUGAUGAUGGCAUUAGCGAGUCAUCUGCAAAUGGUAGAAGCAGAGAAACAAAAACUUAGAACUCAAGUUAGAAGAUUGUGUCAAGAGAAUGCGUGGCUGAGAGACGAAUUGGCAGGAACACAACAAAAAUUACAAGCUAGUGAACAAGCGGUUGCUCAACUGGAAGAGGAAAAGAAACAUUUGGAAUUUAUGACCAGUAUGAGACAAUAUGAUCCUGAUCCUUCUGCAGAUGAUGAAAAUGCUAAAGAUAGGCCAAAAGAUGAUCCCGUAGUUGAUUUGUUUCCUGAUGAUGAUGCUGAUGACCGAAAUAGUAAGUCAAUAUCACCUACACCGCCAUCACAAUUCGCACAGCAAGUCAAUGCUGGAUAUGAAAUACCAGCACGUUUGCGUACUCUGCACAAUUUGGUAAUACAAUACGCGAGUCAGGGACGUUAUGAAGUAGCUGUACCUUUAUGCAAACAAGCAUUGGAAGAUUUGGAGAAAACUUCCGGUCAUGAUCAUCCUGAUGUCGCAACAAUGUUAAAUAUCUUGGCAUUGGUAUAUCGAGAUCAAAAUAAAUAUAAGGAAGCAGCUAACCUUUUAAACGAUGCUUUAGCUAUAAGGGAGAAGACACUUGGUGAAAAUCACCCUGCAGUUGCAGCAACCUUAAAUAACCUUGCAGUUUUAUAUGGAAAGCGAGGAAAAUAUAAUGAAGCAGAACCAUUGUGUAAGAGAGCCCUUGCAAUUCGAGAAAAGGUUCUUGGAUUUGAACAUCCAGACGUAGCUAAACAAUUAAACAAUCUUGCAUUAUUAUGUCAAAAUCAAGGAAAAUAUGAAGAAGUAGAACGUUAUUAUCAGCGGGCUUUAGAAAUAUAUGAAGCAAAACUUGGUCCAGAUGAUCCUAACGUAGCCAAAACGAAAAAUAAUCUUGCUUCUUGUUAUUUAAAACAAGGCAAAUAUAAGGGUGCCGAAAUUCUAUAUAAACAAGUAUUGACUAGGGCACAUGAAAAAGAAUUUGGUGCUAUUGAUGAAGAUAACAAACCUAUUUGGCAGGUUGCGGAAGAACGAGAAGAAAAUAAACAUAAAAAUAAAGAAAAUACUCCUUAUGGUGAAUACGGUGGCUGGCAUAAAGCGGCUAAGGUCGAUUCCCCAACGGUUACAACUACAUUGAAAAAUCUUAGUUCCCUAUAUAGAAGACUAGGCAAAUAUGAGGCUGCAGAAACUCUUGAAGACUGUGCCUUCAGAUCAAGAAAAGAGCAUGUACAGCAGGCAUUAGAUCUAGUGAAACAAGCUAAGGUGGCUCAAAUAUUAGGAGAUGAAAAAGGAACUACUAGACGUGGAUCACGAUCGAGUUUGGCUAAUAGCGAACACGAACAACACGACGAGGGUUCGCUGCCACUGGUGCAAAGGGCGCUACAUGAAGGACAAUCUGGCCACCACGACGCUAGUCCUAACAAACCCGGUUUUAAAAACAAGAUCUUUCAAGCUUUCGGGAUUCAUUCUUCCACGUAGGAUAAUUGUCCGUUUGUAGUAUCGCUUGUCACUGAUUUUUCCCUAUAUGUACGCAGAUUUUAAAGUACUGCUGAAUAUCUAUAUUCUUAGGAAAGGAGGGCAAUUGAAUAUUAAGGGGAUCCUUAUUUUAGGUAUCCUUUAACUUCACACAAUUAUCACAUUGUGUUCUAAAAUGCUGAAGAAUACUAUAAUCGUGCGAUAUAUGUCUCUCGUAGAGUUUGUCUUUUUAGGGACAUGUACAACUGGCUGUACACGUGUGUUUCUCUGUGCUUCUCGGAAUUGAAUAUAAUUUCAUCGCACAUGCAUAACUUCGAGAAGAGAAACGUCAGUACCUUUUCUUCUAUAAUCUGCAAUGUAUUAUCAAAAUACAGUGCAAUCAAUUUUCAUCGUUCACAUCGGAUAUACAUUGUAGAAAACAAUGAAGCGUUAUUAAUCACUUCCAAUCUUUAACUGUGAUAACGCCUUGUGUUUAUUUUUUUAACGUAAAUAUGAGAAGAUCAUAAAUAACGUUUUAAAAAGAUAUUUUCAAUCGAAGGCGCUUGAUAUGAUAUAAUAUAUAUUUGAUUAUUUUAAAUUAUGUGUCUUAUAGAAAUACAUUACUAUAAAUUUUACGCUUGUAUUCGAUCGCGAGAAUAUUUGUAGUAUCAAUAAUUAUUUGAACCGUUUAUUCUCGUAAAAAGUAACAUUAAACAUGUCACAUUUCACGCCUUAUGCUUCCUUAAUGGAAAAAUUUAGAAGUUCUAUUUUAAUGUACUAUUAAUUUUUAACUUCUAUUAAGAAUAAUUUUACUAUCGAUAAGAGAUAUUAAAUUAUUUGUUACGCAUUAUAACCUUAUUAUCUCUGUGAAACCAAAAGUAGUGUGCAAUGACACACAUGUGGUGAAGAUAGAAGUCUUUAGUAACAGCUUUGCUCAACUAUAUAGCUUGGUAUAGAUUAGCAAAGAUAAUUUAUAAAAAUUAGAAAAUACGAACCAAAUGAAGUUUAUGGAUUUUUACAAAUAAUUUUAUAUUUAUUCAUUUUAUAUUUUGAUGAAUUUCAUCUUAAUCUCGAAUUUAGGUAUUCCAUUACAUUUGGAAAUGGUUGGUUCUUCCCUAAACUCCGAAUUCUUCAGGAAACUAUUUUUAAAUCUUCAUACAAUAACAUUGCAAUUUCAUUUACGAGUUUUACCUAUUGACAUUGUCACAAUUGUAUUUUGUUAACUAUCUUGUGAUAUAAGGUGUCUCGAAAUUAUUUUUGUAUUCCCGUGUAUUUAAGAUAUUAACUUAUGUGUAUAAUAUAAAGAAAAUAUUUUGUGCAAUUUAUUAAUUUAACUAUAUAUUUUUCAUUCAUAUGAUAAUAUAGUUGAAAAUUUGUCUUGCCUAUAGUUUAUAAAGAUCUCAGGAGAAUACAUAAAAAGAAUUAUUUCUUCCAAUUGUUAUCUAUUCGAGACACCAUAUACCGAGUUCUGGUGAAUGAUAUCGAUAUGAUAAUAUCUUAUACUAUCUUUUUACUUUCCUAUAGGUAGGAUGAAACGCUGUAUUAUAAAUUAAUUUUUAGUACUUUUCUUUAAUUUAUCACUUACAAACAUGAGUAAUAAGUAAAAGUAGUGCCUUGAUACUUUAAUAAAUAAAAAAAUAAAUUAUUUUCUAACAGAGUAAUUUAAUUGUUACUUGACUGACAUCGUAUAAUAUUUAAUGGCUCUAAUAGAGCAUAUUAAUAUUCGUAGGAAUGUUAUAAAGAAAAGUAUAAUUACACCCUGAAUGGUGUUAUUAAUAUUUGAGUUACAUGCAUUUUGUUUCUGUUUUGUAUGAAGCUAUACAAAGGAACAAUUCUUGUAUGAAAACUUUUUGUAUUAUGAUAACUAAAUCUUGCAUUAAUUUUCCUCGCACGCAUUUGUGUUUAACCACACUGUUCUACUAUUUUGGAAUAUCUGCGUUGUUGUUUUGUUUCGCUUUGAUUUGAGUACUGCAGGCCAGAACUUAGGUAUGGAUUGCACUGGAAUAUGUGACGCCUGGACAUCAGAGAAAAGAUAUCAUGGCAUUACAAAACAGGAUCAGAAGUACUCAGUUCGUGCUCAAUAAAGAACAUGGUUUAAGAGAACUGAAGUGAUAAAUAUGAAGCGAUUAUAAGGGCUCUGCAAUGUUUUUACCAAACAUUGACUGAUGUCCUAUGUUUGGGUCGUUUACAUAUACGGCACAUUCCAGCUGCUUUUAAUGAGAUGCACUAUGUGAAGUUCAUUUUAUUCAAACAUUAGCUUUACAUUAGCAAUCGAUUAUUUGUUAUAGCAGUUUCAAGGUAAAUCGAUCUACUCUGCUUAACAUUUAUCUGAAUCAAAAUGCAAGCUGUAAUGUUGGUAUACAAAAAUAAGUUUUACUUUUCAUGCAAAAUCAAAGAAAAUAUUGACAAUGAUACUGGCCAAAUCCAAACUUUUGACAAAUUUAAUGAAAUAAAAUAAUAAUGAACAUUAUAAUUAGUAUUGGAUUUCUAUACAUUUUUGAUAGUUUUAUGCACACAUAUCUUACAUUAUUCAUACAUGCCCUAUAUGACAUUGCAUAAUCAUUCCAUAAACUAGCUUCAAUUCAAAGCGAAUCAGUGCUUUAGGGAAUGUUUGUAUGUCGCUUGAAAAUUGGAAUACAUGUAGCAUUACACUACGCACGUAGAAUUAUGUGAGCAUACCGUCAAUGUAGUUAAGGCUAUCAAAGUGUAUAUUUAAAAAAAGACAAUGCCAGAGCAUUUUGAAAUAUUACAAAUUUAAUGUCUGUAUUAACUGGAUUGGCAUAACAAUAUACAACUUUAAAAAUAAACAGAUUUUCAAUUAUUUGCAUAUAUAUGUAUAUAUAUACAUGCAUAUAUUCGCAAUACUUAAUUUAUAUUGUCAUGUUUUCUGUAUUAUAAUAUUAUGUAUCGGGAAUAAAACUUCAUUUACUUUAACAUCGUAUCAUCUUCAUAUUGAGCUAUAUAUUUAUAUUUCAAGCCACCAACUUUGUGAUAGGCUGUGAGUGGCAUAUUAUUUUUAAGUUUAAGAGAGAAGUAUGAUGAACUUUUGAAUCCGUCAAAUCCAUUUAUACCAUAGAAAUAUGGUAAUCAAAAUAUGUGAUUGUGCAAGUAAUAUUGUUGCAUUAAUCGUUAAUUGUAAUCCUUGUUUUGUUUAUGAGAUUAUGAUCAUCCCAUUAUAUGCAAUAUGAAGCUAUUAUGAAAAAAUAUAUUGGUCUUACUAAUGUGCAUUGUAUUAGAUCUGUCAUUAUUGUUUUGGUGCUUUUUUAAAUAUUUUAUAUAUACAAGUACAUUUUAAAUCAGACAAUUUCAGGAGAUAUACUUGUAUACUUGAUAUUUUUAAUAUCAUUUAAUUAUAUUAUCAACUGAAUUAAGUGAAAAUCCUUUUUUGAAAGAAUGUAUUAUGUUUCAAAAUUUUAAAGAAUUUUCUUUCCGUUAAAAAAAUUAUAUUUUAACUAUAUCUACUUUAAUAUUUCAUUAUCAUUUUUAAUUUAUACGUUGUGUUUAAAUAUUAACUUUACGUGUGCUCUCAAUACAAUUGCUCAUGCAUUUAAAACAGAUAUCAUGCGCCUGAGAGCUCAGAGGCCUAGAUUUUGAGACGUUUAAUAUGUGGUAUAUAAAUUUUAUUACAUAAGAAAAGUUACUAAUAAAAGUGUUCACGUGGAAUUGUAGAGUGAUCUACAAUUUUAUUAGCACUAUAUUGUUCAAUUGACAAAUACUGCACUUCAAUAUAAAUAAAUAUAAAGAUUAUACUUUUCCUCUAUUAAGAUUGGCCAUGAAGAUAGAAACAAAAUUAAUAUAAAUAUAAAGUUGUUAUAUAAAGGACUGCAUGUUAAUUAUGCAAAUGCUACUUCUAUAAAACAUUUACAAUCGAAAAAAGAACUAUAAAAUUUAAUUUAUGUAUGAAACUGUAUCUGUAUUUUAUUGAAUGUUUGCAUUAUAUUGUGUUGUAAGUUUUAAUUACUAUUUUCUUUUUAAGAAUGUAUUCUUAUAUAUACUAAUAGCAUGUAUUGUUAAUUUCAUAAAAUUUGUUAUUUUCAUCAUACCAUAAAAUGCAUUGAUAUUUUACUGCGCCUACAGAGUUAAAUCGUUGAUUGGAUUCAAUAUGCAAGAUCUAUGCUAAUAGUGUUUGUUACUAUUUUGUAUUUGAGAAUGAAUGUGCGAUACAAUAGUUAACACUCAAGAAACUCAUAUACUUACUCAUCAGCAAGUAUAUAUAUCGUUUUAACGAGAAUACAUAUACUAACAAUACAAUAUUUUAGUAUUGUAGCUCUCAGGUGCAACUAUUGUUAUUUGAUAAUAUGUAAGUAACGAUUUAUAAUAAAUAUUACAACUUGUAUUACUACCCA
This is an RNA transcript of Vespa velutina, 6805 nucleotides long. It is a transcript of the gene named kinesin light chain, with no coding region annotated. The record is from RefSeq and is a predicted model, not a curated record. NCBI's taxonomy places the organism in Eukaryota, Metazoa, Arthropoda, Insecta, Hymenoptera, Vespidae. The transcript has 9 exons.